This 701-nucleotide ribosomal RNA is filed under the name uncultured bacterium. RNAcentral's name for it is "bacterial SSU rRNA". It matches the Rfam family "Bacterial small subunit ribosomal RNA", at positions 8 to 722 of the family's 1533-position model. The record is from RNAcentral.
AGAGUUUGAUCAUGGCUCAGAGUGAACGCUGGCGGCAGGCCUAACACAUGCAAGUCGAACGGUAGCACAGAGGAGCUUGCUCCUUGGGUGACGAGUGGCGGACGGGUGAGGAAUAUAUCGGAAUCUACCCUUUCGUGGGGGAUAACGUAGGGAAACUUACGCUAAUACCGCAUACGAACUGAGGUUGAAAGCGGCGGACCGCAAGGCGUCGCGCGGAUGGAUGAGCCGAUAUCCGAUUAGCUAGUUGGCGGGGUAAUGGCCCACCAAGGCGACGAUCGGUAGCUGGUCUGAGAGGAUGAUCAGCCACACUGGAACUGAAACACGGUCCAGACUCCUACGGGAGGCAGCAGUGGGGAAUAUUGCACAAUGGGGGCAACCCUGAUGCAGCAACGUCGCGUGGAGGAUGAAGGUCUUUGGAUUGUAAACUCCUUUUUUCGGGGAAGAGGAAGGACGGUACCCGAAGAAUAAGUCACGGCUAACUACGUGCCAGCAGCCGCGGUAAUACGUAGGUGGCGAGCGUUAUCCGGAAUUACUGGGCGUAAAGGGCACGCAGGCGGCCUGAUAAGUCUGACGUGAAAGCUCCUGGCUUAACUGGGAGAGGUCGUUGGAAACUGUUGGGCUUGAGGUAAUGAGAGGGGUGCGGAAUUCCCGGUGUAGUGGUGGAAUGCGUAGAUAUCGGGAGGAACACCAGUGGCGAAAGC